ACCAGUUCAACAAAAGAACACUGCAAGUUUUUCGCUAGCAUAACAUGAUUCCAUUGCAGACAGUGUGCUACUUUCAAACUGAUGGCAUCCCAGAAGCAAAUUCCUCAAAGAACCUUGAUUCAUAUCAUAAUUAAUUUUCCGACAAGGUAGCACAUAUAACAAUAUCAUCAGCUCUCUAAUCAAGUCAAGAACUCUUCCAACAUGUUCUGUGUGUGGUGUUGUCAGCUACUAUUACCGGUCAAGAAGAUGGCAGUUGGGUUA
Molecule: unclassified non-coding RNA, 261 nt
Filed under: Hevea brasiliensis (rubber tree)
Lineage: Eukaryota; Viridiplantae; Streptophyta; Magnoliopsida; Malpighiales; Euphorbiaceae
Source: RNAcentral